Silurus meridionalis is the source of this 368-nucleotide long non-coding RNA. RefSeq lists it as uncharacterized. NCBI's taxonomy places the organism in Eukaryota, Metazoa, Chordata, Actinopteri, Siluriformes, Siluridae. The transcript is spliced from 2 exons. The record is from RefSeq and is a predicted model, not a curated record.
CCACAAGUCACAUGACAGGAAGUUGCAUCCUCAGGAUUUCUGGAAGAUCAAACGUCUGUUCUGGCACGUGAAGCAGGACCUGGGUGAUUCAGCAGAUGACUCUGUUUGCCCUCUGACAUGCACAACCCGAGAGCUGGCACGUUGUCCCAACGCUGAUGUCGUCGAGCUCAGCAGAGAGAGGGGGCAGGAUGUCGUGUCUCGGAGCAGCACGGCUUUGCUGGCACGCUAGAGUUCUGGAGUCCUGCCGAGAGGACAGACUCACGCUAAAAGCUUCCGCUUGGCACCGAGACGUACCUCUCAGUUCAAGUGUAAUUCAAGUCAUUUACAAUAUUGUCCUUCUGAAGAAUAAUAAAAUAUUAUUGAGUAAA